RNAcentral lists this ribosomal RNA (253 nucleotides) under uncultured bacterium. RNAcentral's name for it is "partial 16S ribosomal RNA". It matches the Rfam family "Bacterial small subunit ribosomal RNA", at positions 524 to 776 of the family's 1533-position model. The record is from RNAcentral.
UACGUAGGGGGCAAGCGUUAUCCGGAUUUACUGGGUGUAAAGGGAGCGUAGACGGUGAGACAAGUCUGAAGUGAAAGCCCGGGGCUCAACCCCGGGACUGCUUUGGAAACUGCCUGACUGGAGUGCUGGAGAGGCAGGCGGAAUUCCUAGUGUAGCGGUGAAAUGCGUAGAUAUUAGGAGGAACACCAGUGGCGAAGGCGGCCUGCUGGACGAUGACUGACGUUGAGGCUCGAAAGCGUGGGGAGCAAACAGG